AAGCGCUUGCAAUCAGACUUGCAUGCAGUUGAUCAUCCGAUGUUCUCACCGGUGCACUCAAUUGCGUUCAGGCCAGCAUUGGUUUUGGUGGUUGGAUAAAGGCCUAGGGAAUGUGGCUCUCUUCGGGGAGUGUUAUAGCCCUAGGUGCAAUGCAGCCCACUGAGACCGAGGACCGCGCUUCGGCUAGGAUGCUGGCGUAAUGGUUGUAAGCGA
Molecule: ribosomal RNA, 213 nt
Filed under: Epiglia sp.
Lineage: Eukaryota; Fungi; Ascomycota; Leotiomycetes; Leotiales; Mniaeciaceae
Description: partial large subunit ribosomal RNA
Source: RNAcentral